RNAcentral lists this microRNA (21 nucleotides) under Sarcophilus harrisii (Tasmanian devil). Its description in RNAcentral is "Sha-Mir-7293_3p (mature (guide))". The record is from RNAcentral. Lineage: Eukaryota; Metazoa; Chordata; Mammalia; Dasyuromorphia; Dasyuridae. RNAcentral also lists the same sequence under 2 other names.
GCGCUGGGGAAUUUCUGCCAC